GGCUCGAUAGCGUAGUGGAAAAAACGCACUCCGUAUCCUUUCACCCCAGUGUUUGACUUACGGAGAGUCCAGAGUUCGAUCCUCCGUCGAGCCU
Non-coding RNA from Mycena latifolia, 94 nucleotides. The record is from the annotation of a GenBank genome assembly. NCBI's taxonomy places the organism in Eukaryota, Fungi, Basidiomycota, Agaricomycetes, Agaricales, Mycenaceae.